This 364-nucleotide small RNA is filed under the name Salmonella enterica subsp. arizonae serovar 62:z4,z23:-. Its description in RNAcentral is "Salmonella enterica subsp. arizonae serovar 62:z4,z23:-- cspA thermoregulator". It matches the Rfam family "cspA thermoregulator", at positions 1 to 380 of the family's 428-position model. The record is from Rfam by way of RNAcentral. Lineage: Bacteria; Pseudomonadati; Pseudomonadota; Gammaproteobacteria; Enterobacterales; Enterobacteriaceae.
UGCGGUUUGAUACAAACUUAUCUGAAGCAGUGAUUGUAAUAUUUCUCAUCAUUUGUCACUCUUGAGAACUCCUUUAGGUUUUUUCUCUCUGAUAAUUUUUUCAGGCCAUUCUGCCCAAGAGCUAAUUAAAAAGGUAACAAUAUUAUGACGACGAAAAUUACUGGUUUAGUAAAAUGGUUUAAUCCUGAAAAGGGCUUUGGUUUCAUUACACCUAAAGAUGGCAGUAAAGAUGUGUUUGUACAUUUUUCUGCAAUCCAAAGUAAUGAUUUCCGCACGCUUAAUGAAAAUCAGGAAGUUGAAUUUUCAGUAGAGCAGGGGCCAAAAGGUCCAUCAGCAGUUGACGUUGUGGCGCUUUAAGGCAACU